CAGAUGACGAGUCCCAAACAGGACGAAAUGCGCAUCCUG
This 39-nucleotide non-coding RNA is filed under the name Trichobilharzia regenti. The record is from RNAcentral. Lineage: Eukaryota; Metazoa; Platyhelminthes; Trematoda; Strigeidida; Schistosomatidae.